CCACUUCUUGCCUACCACUAUACUUUGCCAAUCCUCUAUUAAUCAUCACCCCACCAUCUUGUUGUUCCACCUGCAAUUAUCGAAGGAAGACUUCAAUUAUUGCUGCCAAAUCCUUAAGCCAUUCCAGUUCAUAUAACUCAAGCAACAACCAAGCAGUUGAAAACAAGUGAGGUAAUUCACUAUCUCAAUCAACCAUUCCAGAAAACAUUCAUAUCAAAGCAUGAUCAUGAUCAGUUAUACAUUUGUAAUGUGAUUCCACAAACAAAUAGAAAGGAACCACUUUAGCUCACCAUUGUCACUAAUAGAUGAACGAAUAUAUCCAUAGCACGCUCACUAUUAGAUAAUUGAAUUCAGAUUUUCUCCUGAAGGAGUCUUUAUGCAUAUUGAUUUCUAAUACGCAACGAAAACAAACGAGACUAGAGAACUUAGCUUUAGGAUGAGUGGUACUGGACUGUCGGAGCUCUGCGACUCACAGCGACGGUGGCUCCGGAAGAGACGACUGCCGGAUUCUUGCUGUUAACAGCAGCGGCUGACGGUGGCGCUCCCAAGCGGCGACGUCCGGCGAUAGAACUCCAAGCCGCGACCCGGCGAAACAGCAGCUGUAGUUGGAGGCGUGGUUCGAGCCUUCGACUCCGGAAAUAGCAGCAACGACAGA
Molecule: long non-coding RNA, 655 nt
Filed under: Salvia miltiorrhiza (redroot sage)
Lineage: Eukaryota; Viridiplantae; Streptophyta; Magnoliopsida; Lamiales; Lamiaceae
Description: long non-coding RNA (SMIL_LNC004105)
Source: RNAcentral